UGGCGCACGGGUGCGUAACGCGUAACCAACCUACCCAGAACUGGGGGAUAGCCCGCCGAAAGGCGGAUUAAUACCGCAUAAGCCAAGGACCCGGCAUCGGGGGCUUGGUAAAGAUUUAUUGGUUCUGGAUGGGGUUGCGUAGCAUUAGCUAGUUGGCGGGGUAAAGGCCCACCAAGGCGACGAUGCUUAGGGGACCUGAGAGGGUGAUCCCCCACACUGGCACUGAGAUACGGGCCAGACUCCUACGGGAGGCAGCAGUAGGGAAUAUUGGGCAAUGGCCGCGAGGCUGACCCAGCCAUGCCGCGUGCCGGAUGACGGCCUUCUGGGUUGUAAACGGCUUUUCUCAGGGAAGAAAACGCUCCUGCGGGGGUAACUGACGGUACCUGAGGAAUAAGCACCGGCUAACUCCGUGCCAGCAGCCGCGGUAAUACGGAGGGUGCAAGCGUUGUCCGGAUUUAUUGGGUUUAAAGGGUGCGUAGGUGGCCGGCUAAGUCCGGGGUGAAAGCCCACAGCUCAACUGUGGAACUGCCCUGGAUAC
RNAcentral lists this ribosomal RNA (538 nucleotides) under uncultured Hymenobacter sp. RNAcentral describes it as "bacterial SSU rRNA". It matches the Rfam family "Bacterial small subunit ribosomal RNA", at positions 96 to 633 of the family's 1533-position model. The record is from RNAcentral. Lineage: Bacteria; Pseudomonadati; Bacteroidota; Cytophagia; Cytophagales; Hymenobacteraceae.